GAUGAACGCUGGCGGCGUGCCUAAUACAUGCAAGUAGGACGCAGUUGCGAACGGGUGAGUAACGCGUAGGUCACUACCUAUUAGUGGGGGAUAACUACUGGAUACGAUAGCUAAUACCGUCUACUAGUCGAUUGACCUGGGUUGUAUUGGCUCGUAGGUAGGGUAAAGGCCUACCUAGGUAACGUUACAUAGGCGCCCUGAGUGGGUGAUCGGCCCAACUGGGACGUAGACAAGGCCCAGACUCCUUCGGGAAGCAGGAGUAGGGAAUCUUCGGCAAUGGGGGGAACCCUGACCGAGCAACGCCGCGUGAGUGAAUAAGGUUUUCGGAUCGUAAAGCUCUUGUGUUAAGGAAGCGGUACUUAACCAGAAAGGGACGGCUAACUACGUGCCAGCAGCCGCGGUAAUAC
This 407-nucleotide ribosomal RNA is filed under the name uncultured bacterium. RNAcentral describes it as "partial 16S ribosomal RNA". It matches the Rfam family "Bacterial small subunit ribosomal RNA", at positions 28 to 526 of the family's 1533-position model. The record is from RNAcentral.